AUAAUGGUGUCUUUAGACACCACCUUUUGUAUUUGAAAAUUGAUUU
Molecule: non-coding RNA, 46 nt
Organism: Picea glauca (white spruce)
Lineage: Eukaryota; Viridiplantae; Streptophyta; Pinopsida; Pinales; Pinaceae
Source: Rfam